This 73-nucleotide microRNA precursor is filed under the name Saccoglossus kowalevskii. RNAcentral describes it as "microRNA sko-mir-4822 precursor". The record is from miRBase by way of RNAcentral. Lineage: Eukaryota; Metazoa; Hemichordata; Enteropneusta; Harrimaniidae.
GAUUGUACCAUUGUUUUCAGUGUGAAAAUGUAAAUUGAUAAGUCUCACAUUGCUGACAAUGGUAUGUUUUUCU